GUUCCUGUAGUUGAAUAACAACGAUGGCGUUUCAAGUCAUUAGUUCUGGUUAAAGUCCUGAUAGGAACU
This 69-nucleotide transfer RNA is filed under the name Hapalogenys nigripinnis (short barbeled grunter). RNAcentral describes it as "tRNA-Glu". It matches the Rfam family "tRNA". From Rfam's summary of the family: Transfer RNA (tRNA) molecules are approximately 80 nucleotides in length. The record is from RNAcentral. Lineage: Eukaryota; Metazoa; Chordata; Actinopteri; Lobotiformes; Hapalogenyidae.